Molecule: ribosomal RNA, 474 nt
Filed under: [Eubacterium] brachy
Lineage: Bacteria; Bacillati; Bacillota; Clostridia; Peptostreptococcales; Anaerovoracaceae
Description: bacterial SSU rRNA
Rfam family: Bacterial small subunit ribosomal RNA
Source: RNAcentral
GAUGAACGCUGGCGGCGUGCUUAACACAUGCAAGUCGAGCGAGAAGUUUUGAAAAGAUUCUUCGGAUGAAAUUUAAAAUGGAAAGCGGCGGACGGGUGAGUAACGCGUAGGCAACCUGCCCCAUACAAAGGGAUAGCAUUUGGAAACGAAUAUUAAUACCUUAUGAAACUUAACUAGUGCAUGCUAGGUAGGUCAAAGAUUUAUCGGUAUGGGAUGGGCCUGCGUCUGAUUAGCUAGUUGGUGAGGUAACGGCUCACCAAGGCGACGAUCAGUAGCCGACCUGAGAGGGUGAACGGCCACAUUGGAACUGAGACACGGUCCAAACUCCUACGGGAGGCAGCAGUGGGGAAUAUGCACAAUGGGGGAAACCCUGAUGCAGCAACGCCGCGUGAACGAUGAAGGCCUUUGGGUCGUAAAGUUCUGUUCUAGGUGUGAAAACUGACAGUAACCUAGGAGAAAGCCCCGGCUAACUCU